AUACGGAGGAUCCAAGCGUUAUUCGGAUUUAUUAGGUUUAAAGGGUGCGCAGGCGGAAAUGUAAGUCAGUGGUGAAAUCCUACAGCUCCACUGUAGAACUGCCAUUGAUACUGCGUUUCUUGAGUAUAGUUGAAGUAGGCGGAAUGUGUAGUGUAGCGGUGAAAUGCAUAGAGAUUACACAGAACACCAAUUGCGAAGGCAGCUUACUAAACUAUUACUGACGCUCAUGCACGAAAGCGUGGGGAGCGAACAGGAUUAGAAACCCUAGUAGUCC
This 274-nucleotide ribosomal RNA is filed under the name uncultured bacterium. Its description in RNAcentral is "partial 16S ribosomal RNA". It matches the Rfam family "Bacterial small subunit ribosomal RNA", at positions 523 to 796 of the family's 1533-position model. The record is from RNAcentral.